RNAcentral lists this long non-coding RNA (1281 nucleotides) under Sus scrofa (pig). Its description in RNAcentral is "lncRNA (ENSSSCG00050057239.1)". Lineage: Eukaryota; Metazoa; Chordata; Mammalia; Artiodactyla; Suidae. The record is from RNAcentral.
CAUUUGUGUAGCACAUGCAGAUGGGCUCAUGACCCCCCAAAGAGACUGUGUGGAAAUUAUUCUUUCCAGCAGGAGAUUGAAGGAGAUGCUUAAAUAUGAAGAGAAACUUCCCUCAAUAUUAUUAAUGAUACUUGGACUUAGCCUGAAUGUGCAACUUUUACUGUGUGGUUUGUAAUCUAGGUCAGUAGAGGUGAUUAAUGUCAGCUCCACCCCAUCAGCCUUCAUGAAGAAUUCUUAAAAUCACAGCUCACAGUGGUGCUAAAAUCCAUGCAGCCACUAUUCAGCAUAAAGGAGAUUCUUCAAAAUUAAAAAAUUAAUCAGAAAUAUAUGCAGUGAACACAUAUGUUUAUGUCAUCAAUUUCCCAUAUAUAAUCCCUGCUGACAGAUGUGUUCCUUCAGCAAGAAGAGUUAACCCUAAAUUGUGCUGUAUCUAGGACAUCUCAUCCUCACAUAUUCGAUAUUCGAUUCGAUAUUCGCCUUGACUGAAUUAGUCAUUCUGCAAAUACUAGUUGAAAACCUCCUCUGCACCAGGCAUAAUUCUGGAUGCUGGAAUAUAUCAUAAGGGGAGUGGAAAACAGGCCUACUUUCCUAGAGUGUGUUCUUGCAUGUGGGGAAAAGGGCAGUAAGGAAAAAGAUGAGUGUGUAUAUACAUUUGUUAUGUUGUGGAAAGCCUUAAGAGGAAAAAUUAGCUAGGUAAGGAGAUAAUAGGAACAGGUGAGUGGAAAUUAUAUUCUUAUUGGGUUGCUUCCCUGGCCUUUCAGAUAAGGUGGUGCAGGGAAAAAGGAAGAGGCCAGAAACAGGGCCAUCCAGCAAAGAAUGUUCCUGGAUGUGGAAACAGCAGGUGCACACUCUGAAUCUAGAGGGUUCUGUGUAUUCUAGAGGAAGAAAGGAGGCUUUGUGGCUGCAACAAAAGAUAAGGGAGCAUCUGCGUUUUCAGAAUAUACUAUUAUCCUUAGUUACUUACUUGUAUUUGGGACCUGGUAGGCUACUGGAUUGGAAAGAGACCAGAAAUGAGAAAGAGGGUAAAAAGAAAAUGAAAGAAAGAUUUUAAAAAUAGAGGUUUGAAAAGAAUUAAAGAGAAAAUGAUUCUAGUAUCCAUGAGGACACAGGUUCAAUCCCUGGCCUCCCUCAGUGGGUUAAGGAUCCAGCAUUGCUGUGAGCUGUGGUGUAGGUCACAGACAUGGCUCAGAUCUGGUUUGGCUGUGUCUGUGGUGUAGGCCAGCAUCUGUAACUCCAAUUUGACCCCUAGCCUGGGAACUUCCAUAUGCUGUGGGUGCAGCC